CUUUACACAACUUUCAGUCAGAAUAUUUUUUUAAAGAAAAUUGCAGAAGGGGCAGUCUUGGGUUUUAAUUUAGAUUAGAGGAGCAGAUUCCUUGCUGGCCUCAGAGAGAAGAGGUGCUCCUUGUCCUUCCUCCCUACCAAGAGUUUCCUGGGUCUCCCCCGAAGCCAAGAUGAAAGUUUUCAUCAUCCUGAUCUGCUCUUUCAUGCUGGUUACGUGUCGAGAAGAAUGUAUUGGGUCUACUUAUCCUCCUGAGUAUAAAGAUGGAAAACUGGUGGAGCAUAACACAUGUCCUGAUCUAAACGGGAGAAAGCAUCUCAUUGGGUCCACCUGGGACGAUGAUAAUGGCUUCCAUUGUGAGUGUCGUAGAGAUGGAAGUCAUUGUUGCAAAAGGGUUGAGGAACCUAUAGCAAUGCCUGCCAACGUUUAGGGCACCAGGGACCGGAGAGAAGUUUUCCAUGAACCAGAGGAUAUGGUGAGGUCCCCCAUCGUCCGGGAUGCAUUGCAAUGGCUAAUCCAGAAACAUGCGGAUAUGAUUUCUAUAAGGUUGAUGCCCCAUUACAGCGCUGUUAAGCUUGUUGGAUUUUCCUCUCUUCAUACGAGUGAACGUGAAUCAACCUUUUCUGUUUAAAUGAACCUGAAUAAAUCCCUCAUCUCAAUAA
Molecule: non-coding RNA, 659 nt
Organism: Pantherophis guttatus
Lineage: Eukaryota; Metazoa; Chordata; Lepidosauria; Squamata; Colubridae
Source: RefSeq, a predicted model, not a curated record